AUGGUUGUACACAAAAAGCACUGGGCAGUAGUAGUUGCUAACAUCACCCAAAAGGAGUUCAAUAUAUUUGACUCCAUCAGGAACUCGGAAGACCUUUUUAAGAUGGACAGGAUCACUAAGAAUGUGGUCGCAAACAUCAAGAGUGUUGCAAGGAGGGAGCCACUUUUUAAGCACAAUCUCGAGUCUUGCUCGCUAUUCACCCCACUUGAUUACCCUCAACAAAAAACUUACUAUAACUGUGGCUACUAUAGUAUUUUAUACGUGGAGAAUUGGGAUGGCCUUGUUAUGCUGUCAUUUGGCGAGGAUUACAUCCCAAACCUUCGGAAACGCAUUGCAGUAGAUCUGUUGAGACACCCAAGCAACAAGUUGGACCCCGCGCAUCAGCUAAAGCUGCUUCUUCAGCGUUAG
This 408-nucleotide ribosomal RNA is filed under the name Triticum aestivum (bread wheat). RNAcentral's name for it is "partial small subunit ribosomal RNA". The record is from RNAcentral. Lineage: Eukaryota; Viridiplantae; Streptophyta; Magnoliopsida; Poales; Poaceae.